RNAcentral lists this ribosomal RNA (253 nucleotides) under uncultured bacterium. RNAcentral's name for it is "partial 16S ribosomal RNA". It matches the Rfam family "Bacterial small subunit ribosomal RNA", at positions 524 to 776 of the family's 1533-position model. The record is from RNAcentral.
UACGAAGGGGGCUAGCGUUGUUCGGAAUUACUGGGCGUAAAGCGCGCGCAGGCGGUCUUCCAAGUCAGUGGUGAAAGCCCGGAGCUCAACUCCGGAACUGCCAUUGAAACUGUGAGACUUGAGGAUGAGAGAGGUGAGUGGAAUUCCUAGUGUAGAGGUGAAAUUCGUAGAUAUUAGGAAGAACACCAGUGGCGAAGGCGGCUCACUGGCCCGGUACUGACGCUGAGGCGCGAAAGCGUGGGGAGCAAACAGG